Molecule: ribosomal RNA, 494 nt
Filed under: uncultured bacterium
Lineage: Bacteria
Description: partial 16S ribosomal RNA
Rfam family: Bacterial small subunit ribosomal RNA
Source: RNAcentral
GACGAACGCUGGCGGCGCGCUUAACACAUGCAAGUCGAACGGAAAGGCCUGCUUUCCCUUGUGGAUUGCGGGUACUCGAGUGGCGAACGGGUGAGUAACACGUGAGUGAUCUGCCCCCAACUUGGGUAUAAGCCUGGGAAACUGGGUCUAAUUCCCGAUAGGACUGCAGGGUUGUGCCUGUGGUGGAAAACGAUUUUCUAGUGGUUGGGGAUGAGCUCGCGGCCUAUCAGCUUGUUGGUGGGGUAAUGGCCUACCAAGGCGGCGACGGGUAGCCGGCCUGAGAGGGUGGACGGCCACAUUGGGACUGAGAUACGGCCCAGACUCCUACGGGAGGCAGCAGUGGGGAAUAUUACACAAUGGGCGGAAGCCUGAUGCAGCGACGCCGCGUGGGGGAUGACGGCCUUUGGGUUGUAAACUCCUUUCGACCGCGAGGAAGCCACCUGGUUGGAAGGGUGGUGACGGUAGUGGUAGAAGAAGCACCGGCUAACUACGUG